RNAcentral lists this ribosomal RNA (252 nucleotides) under uncultured bacterium. RNAcentral's name for it is "partial 16S ribosomal RNA". It matches the Rfam family "Bacterial small subunit ribosomal RNA", at positions 524 to 776 of the family's 1533-position model. The record is from RNAcentral.
UACGGGGGGGGCAAGCGUUGUUCGGAAUUACUGGGCGUAAAGGCUCGUAGGCGGCCAACUAAGUCAGACGUGAAAUCCCUCGGCUUAACCGGGGAACUGCGUCUGAUACUGGAUGGCUUGAGGUUGGGAGAGGGAUGCGGAAUUCCAGGUGUAGCGGUGAAAUGCGUAGAUAUCUGGAGGAACACCGGUGGCGAAGGCGGCAUCCUGGACCAAUUCUGACGCUGAGGAGCGAAAGCCAGGGGAGCAAACGGG